Molecule: non-coding RNA, 2373 nt
Organism: Struthio camelus australis
Lineage: Eukaryota; Metazoa; Chordata; Aves; Struthioniformes; Struthionidae
Source: RefSeq, a predicted model, not a curated record
CCCCAUAUACUGACAUUCUGAAUUCUGUUAGUUUAUAUGAAUACCGCACAAAAUUGAGUUUAGCAUAUAGCCUGUUCAAAGCAACUUAGUUUAUUAUGUACUGAAAGGCAACGGAUUUGCUGCCCUGCCUAAGGGAUCAGAAGAGUAUUUAUAUUUACUGGCAUGAAUAUACAGCAGAACACUUAAAGUGAGAAAGCAAGUGCUGGGUUCAGGUCUCCAAAGUCCUGCUCUCCAGCCUAAAGCUUCCAUACAGGCUCUUCUCCAACUUUCCUUACCGUAGGACCCUUUGGUAGGAGGAAGUAUGGAGAGAAGCUUAGCAGGAGAUUAGUUAAAGAUUUGCUUAAGGUCUCCUUCUGCAUUCUUUCUUUUUCUUACAGAUUAUGAUGGUGAGAUUUGUUUUUGUAGUCUGUGUGUUGAGGAAAAGCUAUUUUUCACCUGAGCCAACCCCAGCUGGCCUAAGCCAACUACUGUAAAACAAUUCUGUGAUUUACAGUUAUCCUGUUUUUUUUUAAUCUUCUCCCCUCUUUGAAUAUUCAAGCUCCGUGCAUUGACCAAAAUUUAUCCCAUGCUAAAUACAACAGUUUACAACAUCCUAUGAAAGUAUCAUGGAAUUUUAAAACAAAUCAGUGAUAUUAAAAAUAGCUGAAAGCGAUGAUAUCUGUUCUAGAAAUAUGAAAAUACUUUUGCUCAGAAGCUCAAACAUGCGUCUGGGUCUCAUCUCUGAAGAGAUGGUCUUCACUCUCAUCUCUUGCCUUCCACUACUUAAAAGCUCUUUUACUGAAAGAGUGCUGCAUAAAGCUGCAAAUAUCAUUUGAUAGCUGAACAGCACGUUAUUCCUGAUAAAUACAAGAUAAUACUUUUGAACAUAAUUUGCAUGACUUUUCUCCCUCCCUUCUCCUUCUAGACUGAUUCAUCUACAGAAAAAAUUAGUAUCAUUGGAGAAGAACUGUCUGCAUUAAAUGGGAAGGUAUGAAUUACCAUCUUCAGCUUUUAAGGGGAAAGAACAGUUCUUAUAUAUCCUCCAGGAAGUUCACCUGUAGUAGGAUUUUCAUUCUACAUAUUUACAGCCACUUAAACCUUAAAAUAUCAUGCCCUGAAAUGGAGAAUUAUUCCCUUUGAUCUGAGUGAAAACUUAAUGGAAUCAGUAUUGAAUGCUUCUAAAAAUCCUACUCUAUAUUUUAUAAUUUCCCAAACCCCAGAAAUGAACCAUAUUAAACUGACUUAUGCAACAUUUUUAAAUGCUAUUGCUAUACAUAUCAUAAUACUACAUAAAACCUGAAAUAAGUGGUUUUCUCAUAAUAUUUUAUGCUUCUGUAAAUACUUUCAGAAAGACUCUUCAGAAAGCACUAAAAUAAUGUAAGUAAAGUGACAUAAUCCUUUGAAAAUCACUUGCAACUUAUUUGUAACUGACUUUUAUAGUGCAAACAUUUUUUUCCUAGCUGUGUAAUUCAGUGACUGUUGCCAUGAAAUUGUUUUUUUUCUCUCCCUGAAUAAUCUUUUCCAGAAUGUGUUAGUAGUAGAGGACAUUAUUGAGACCGGCAGAACAAUGGAGACGCUACUUUCAAAACUAAAAGACUACAAACCAAAGAUGGUAAAAGUAGUAAGUCUGCUCAUUAAAAGAACACAUCAAAGUUCAGGUUACAGACCAGAUUGUUCUAAGCACGCUAAAUACCUUGAAAGCAGAUGAAGUAUCUGUGAAGCAUUGCCUUUAUGUAGCUGAGACAACCCAUACAUUUAAAAGCUAUUUAUACAAUUCAAAUAUAAAAAGAACUGGAUUUUGUUACAGAUACAGGCUUUGAAAUUCCAGACAAAUUUGUGUUUGGAUAUGCUCUUGACUAUAAUGAAUACUUCAGAGAUCUAAAUCACAUCUGCAUUCUGAAAGAGAAAGCCAGAGAGAAAUAUAAAAUCUGAUCGCAUCAGUCUUCUAGAGUAACAGCCCAGUGGCACAUACAGCCAUGUGGAUGUACAAUAAGAAGUAAUUUCCUAUUAAUCAUGUUUGUUUCACCGAAAAACUGCAACAUGUUUUUAAAGAUAGUUCUUUUGUAUACUUUUCAUAUAAUGUUGAAAAUAAUGUUAAACAAUGUAACAAAGGCAAAUGACUUCUCUUCAAGUUUUAGUGAAACUAGAACAGACCACUGGCCAUAAAAUGUGUAUCAUAUUGUGUACUAUAUCCCACUGGAAUCAGAGGGGACAGAGCCAGAACACAUACAUAUUUAUAUCUAUGUAUACAGUUAUGUGUAUAUGUGUAUACAGUUAUGUUUGGGUUUUUAGUUACUGUAUAAAGUAGCACAUCAUGUGUACUGUAUUUAAACUGCAAUUAUGUCUAUAUGUGUGCAAAUAUAUAGAUAGACAGGAAGAUUUGUACUUUAUAUA